RNAcentral lists this ribosomal RNA (768 nucleotides) under Alloprevotella tannerae. Its description in RNAcentral is "bacterial SSU rRNA". It matches the Rfam family "Bacterial small subunit ribosomal RNA", at positions 28 to 776 of the family's 1533-position model. Lineage: Bacteria; Pseudomonadati; Bacteroidota; Bacteroidia; Bacteroidales; Prevotellaceae. The record is from RNAcentral.
GACGAACGCUGGCGGCGUGCUUAACACAUGCAAGUCGAACGUGAUUUUUGUGGAAAUUCUUUCGGGAAUGGAAAUGAAAUGAAAGUGGCGAACGGGUGAGUAACACGUGAGCAACCUACCUUACACAGGGGGAUAGCCGUUGGAAACGACGAUUAAUACCGCAUGAGACCACAGAAUCGCAUGAUAUAGGGGUCAAAGAUUUAUCGGUGUAAGAAGGGCUCGCGUCUGAUUAGCUAGUUGGAAGGGUAAAGGCCUACCAAGGCGACGAUCAGUAGCCGGUCUGAGAGGAUGAACGGCCACAUUGGAACUGAGACACGGUCCAAACUCCUACGGGAGGCAGCAGUGAGGAAUAUUGGUCAAUGGGCGAGAGCCUGAACCAGCCAAGUAGCGUGCAGGAUGACGGCCCUAUGGGUUGUAAACUGCUUUUGUAUGGGGAUAAAGUCAAUCACGUGUGAUUGUUUGCAGGUACCAUACGAAUAAGGACCGGCUAAUUCCGUGCCAGCAGCCGCGGUAAUACGGAAGGUCCAGGCGUUAUCCGGAUUUAUUGGGUUUAAAGGGAGCGUAGGCUGGAGAUUAAGUGUGUUGUGAAAUGUAGACGCUCAACGUCUGAAUUGCAGCGCAUACUGGUUUCCUUGAGUACGCACAACGUUGGCGGAAUUCGUCGUGUAGCGGUGAAAUGCUUAGAUAUGACGAAAGAACUCCGAUUGCGAAGGCAGCUGACGGGAGCGCAACUGACGCUUAAGCUCGAAGGUGCGGGUAUCGAACAGG